Molecule: long non-coding RNA, 1258 nt
Organism: Mangifera indica (mango)
Lineage: Eukaryota; Viridiplantae; Streptophyta; Magnoliopsida; Sapindales; Anacardiaceae
Exons: 3
Source: RefSeq, a predicted model, not a curated record
CAACCCAGAAAGGCUCCGACUGCCUCUUUCAAGGUCGGAUACGACACGAGAACAAAUAAAAGGAAAAAGAGAGUGAGAGGAGAAUCCAUAAACAGAUUGCUCAAUGGUCAAUUGGGCAAUGGGGUUUCGUUCUUUUUCCAAAAUUUGUGAAACUGUUGAAAAAGUUUCUGCAUUUUGGAGUAAUGUAAAUAGUCAGCGAAAGGGUAUUUCUAAUUCUGCAAAAGUUGGAGUCCUUUAUUGGGGAUGCUUGGAAACAAGAUUUCUGGAGCACAAGGAGGCUAUUAGGGCAACUGGGUUCGCUGAUUCAAUUGUGCGAGGAAAUAUUUUUUGGAGAUUUAAGGUUCUUUGGAAGCAGUGAGGGUAAUGGGGGUCAGUUGGAUAGAGAUUUUCUUGCACAGUUAAUGGAUUGCUGAUAGGAGAUAAAAAAGAAGAAGAAAAGUUGUUAAAGAGUAAAAAUUAUGGUAAAAAGGUUUAUGAUGCUGGGCCGCAAGGAAGAUGGUAUUCAGGUUCUGCGUCCCAGAAGCAAAUUCUUAUGAGCAGGGUAAACCAGUUCUGCAUCAACCUCCUGUCAGUCAGUCUAUCACCGGCUUUUUCAAACCUGUGUGCUCGGAGGAGUUCCAUUGAGAGUUACAUGAUAUUGACGUAGGACCUGUAUUUGGGACCAAAGUUGUUGAUUUUGUUGUUGUGGCAAAGUUCUUCUUAAUCAGACUCAUGGCCAAUGAUUUGGCAAUUUACCUAGGUGCCUUUGUUGGUAGUUUGGUAGGUUCUAAGUCAAUUAAAAACAAUCAUCUGUUCACCUGAGUUGCCAGACCAAUGCUAAUGUGAUAUGAACCUGCUGUUGCUGCCGAAGAUUGCUGCUGGAUGUUCCUGCUAUUUCCUGCUCAAGUGCUAGUGUUGCCGUGUUUAUGCUCAAGAACAAAAAUAAUAGAAGGACUAGGAUAAAAUGUAUUCUGUACUAAUUGAAAUUGUAAAUACUCAAUGCAGCAGUGUAAUGGAAAGUUUCUUAUAUUAGUAGAUGAAGUUCAGACUUACAGUAACUGUUCUUGCUGAUAGUAUCACUCUCUCAACUAACAUAACACGAAACAAACCAACAGAGAAUCAACAUCAAAAGAUAAACCCAAAUUCCAGCAUUCGAGAGGCUGGUCUCUCCCUUCCUUCUACUUGACUGAUUUCUCCCUACCCUCUUCUGCAUCCCCUAUGUCUCCUUUACCAUGCUUCCCAUAGUCAACUCUCUUGUCUCCUGCUGCAAUAUCAACCA